GGUAUUUACUAAACGGCCGCAGAAUUUUAACUGUGCUAAGGUAGCAUAAUCAUUUGUUUUUUAAUUAAAAACUAGUAUGAACGGUUUAACGAAAUAAAGCUGUCUUUUUUACUGUACAUAUAAAUUAUUCUUAAAGUAAAAAACCUUUAAUCAUAUAAAAAGACAAAAAGACCCUAUAGAGUUUUACUUCAAAAUAUUAAAGAUAUCUUCAAGUUUAGUUGGGGCAACUAAAUGGAAAAAAAUUCCAUAAAAAUUUUAUAAAAUUUUAAUAGCAUUAAAUUAAUAAACUAAAAUAAAUUACCUUAGGGGUAACAGCGUAACUAUCUUAAAGAGCCCAAAUCGAAAAGAUAAAUUAC
This 356-nucleotide ribosomal RNA is filed under the name Acanthomeniidae sp. 1 FSB-2019. Its description in RNAcentral is "partial large subunit ribosomal RNA". It matches the Rfam family "Bacterial large subunit ribosomal RNA", at positions 1913 to 2521 of the family's 2925-position model. The record is from RNAcentral. Lineage: Eukaryota; Metazoa; Mollusca; Solenogastres; Cavibelonia; Acanthomeniidae.